Molecule: long non-coding RNA, 2062 nt
Organism: Pezoporus occidentalis (night parrot)
Lineage: Eukaryota; Metazoa; Chordata; Aves; Psittaciformes; Psittacidae
Exons: 4
Source: RefSeq, a predicted model, not a curated record
CAGACCUCUGUCAGAUGCCUUGGCCCUGAGUGAUUUUUCAACAUGCUAUGUUAACAGGAGUAAUGUGAAGAAAAUAUCCUGAGUGAAAGAAUAGGACAGCUAAAGCUAAAGUUCCAUCAGGAAGGAGAUGCUUUAGAAAUGUGGGAGACAACUAGACAAGGUUUAAAUGAUCUGCUUUGUAAGAGCGAGUAACAGUUGCCAGCAGCAAGGGGGAUACUAAGAAGAGUGCUGUUUUGACCUGCUUGCUUUGAAAUACUAUAUGGUUUUAAUAGUUUUCAGUUAGUGCAGACAGCAAAGCCUAGCUAUGAAGAGGCAAUAUAGAACUGCAGAGAGAAUGUGCCAUGUGCAGAAUAAACCCUGACAAUAUAUAUUUUUUUUUAACAAGGACUAAGAAAAGGGUAACAGUGGAAUACACACAACUGCAAUUUUCUGAGGCUGGUGAUAUGGCUUUAAAGUUCUGGUGGCUGGGUUUCUUGUGAGGGAUUUGGUUGUGACUGGGGUUCAGGAAGAAAACCCAGGGUGAGCUAGAACAGUGUGCUGAAGUGACCAGGAACAAGCCCUGACUCAUAAAACUGACAGAAGAUGUUACCUACAGUGGGAUUUAUCUCCACUAGUCAUAGUUAUCAAAAAGCUAGAUGUCUGGUCUACACUAAUCUCUCAGGCUCCUGAACAAAAGGCACAAAAGGCAGCUCCAGAGGUUAAUGAAUCCCAGCUAUUUGGAAGACAGCUUAAAUCAGAAGGAUCUGCCCUCCCAAAGGAGCAAAAAACAAAUACCAUGAAUGAUACUUCCUUACUUUUUCCACAGCUGCAGCAAUGUGAAAAGAAUCCCUCUUAUGACCCAGGAUGAUGCUCAUGAGAAAAACACAAUGCUCUCACACAACAGACAUGCUGGAACUGUCAAAAUGCCCUGCUAUGUAUGUGUGGCUGGGGGAGGAGGGAAACAAAACUGCUUGUGUUUUCUAAAAUACAAUAACACCAACCUUGGUGGAAGGUGGAGACAGACAAUGGUGUCCCAGAAAGCUUUUCAUAUGGAAGAAGAUAUACACCUCGUCUCACUCCAUCUCUCAAACUACCACCUGGACAACCAUGUAAUCUUCACCAUGACACAGCAGUAUGGUUCUAUUUCUCUGGGUUUUUUCCUCACCCAGUAGCUCAAAGUUGCCACUGUAGUCAUAGCUUCACCUGACUCUGUGGUUUCAAGGAUGGUGGUGUGUGUCAGUGGACUCUAUAGCUUGCCAGUUUUCUAAGAAUUGUAUCAUCAUAUGCUAUGUGGACCUGUUCUCUCAGUCUCAGAGAAUCAAUUAGCAAUGACUUUAGCACCAUGUGGAUAUGCAGUCAUCUCCUGUGAUGCCACCAUCCUUCAGUGAACUUGAAAUGUGGCCUUACCAAUAGUAUAACUUUGCUAAAACUUAAAAAAGUUUGGACAAUGAUUGAAAUAUUUCAUGCCCUGGUCAAGACAGCUGAAAGACUGAGGACUGCUGGAUGAGAGAGUAAUCCUCUGGUAAUCAGAACAUGGAUGUGAAAAGUUCAGCCAUCUUUCUGUGUUUCAGGUUCCUGAUAAUAUACCAGUUCUCUAAAGGCAAGAGGCUCAACAGGCAAAUUGACAUGGAUUUUACUGAAAUCAGCUAUCUAAGUUAUACCAGAUGAGACUUUGCUUGGAGAAAUCAAAAGCAAGCCUCUCUGGAAAGUAAUGACUGAGGUGGAGAGGAUUGCAAGACCCAACAAAUAAACUGGUGAUUCCUUGACUUCAUUGCUUCUUCCAUAAUGAACAGUAUUCUUCUCCUGUGUAGGUGGAAAGGUGUGCAUCAGCACUGCUGCCUGGCCAGAGCUUGUUGGGAAAUGUAGUUUGGCUGAGGGGCAAAGUCCCCAACAAAGAACAGGAAGAGGAUGGACUUGAGACCUCUGGAGUCAAGCUGUGAUGCCCCUUCAGAACUGAAGUAUUUUAACUAGUUUCUUGGUUUGCCUGCUCAGGUUUUCAAUGAAAACUUGAAAUGUUCUGUGGAAAGCAGAACCAUUUCAGGAAUAAUUCACUGCCACUGAAAGAUCCAUUCUCUACUGCAAA